This 2282-nucleotide long non-coding RNA is filed under the name Nicotiana benthamiana. RNAcentral's name for it is "long non-coding RNA (NBEN_LNC022996)". The record is from RNAcentral. Lineage: Eukaryota; Viridiplantae; Streptophyta; Magnoliopsida; Solanales; Solanaceae.
AACCUAUACUACAACUUCUCCACUGUGCUCGUCAAAGCCUCCAAAAUAUUUACAUGGUUCUUCAAGGCAUACCCCGGAUAUAAUAUUUACAAAAUUCACGGGGCAUUCCCCGAAUAAAUUUAACUAAGGGACAACCUUUCACCUCAAAAUCAACAAAAUCCUAAAACUUGCCUACCCAAAUGUGGUCAGCCUAAGCAUGCUCCUAGCGAUCAAUAUGAAAAUAAGGAGAAUUAAAUAAAAGGGAACUUCAAUUCAUGGUCGUUUCCAUUUUUAAUAGUGAACUCCCAAGUCCCCUUAUCAUUCUAUCCAAAUAAACAUAUGCACAGUGGCAAACACUAACCAAUUAGGCUAAAUCACAAGACCGAAUUGUGAACAUGGAAACACAUGUAAAAACGGAAUAUAAACACCUUAGAGGGAACUAUCCAGAAGGUGUGGGCUAAUGGACUAACUAGUAAAUAAAUGACAAAUAAAGAUAAAACAAAUGAAUGCCACGAUCAGGACUGGAAAAUACGAAAAACACCUUGCAAUAUCAUUUCAUCUUUCUCAAGCUGCUCCUCUCAACCCAAACAGGCACAGGUAUAGACCUCUUUUGUGGUUUAAAUUCAAAAGAAACAAGUCAAUCACCCUCUCAGUGUCUAUCCCUCAUAUGCUUAACGUGGAAGACACAUGAGAAAUCGACAAUGACACUAUUCACAUUUCAUGUAAGUAAGACAUUAGAUAGGAAACUCAAGGCAAACAAGGACACCUACCGGAAUGGCACGAGAACAGAAUGAAAUCAUCAAGAAACAAAGCCCGUUCACGUUGAGGCGCGACAAAUGAGUUGAAUAUGCAAACAUAAACCACUCCAAACCUAUGAGUAGCUAAACUUAAUUAGCCAGAAGAAAUCGAUUGCAAGCUAAUCUUAAUGAAACUAAGGCCUAGCAACUACAAGGACUAGCAUGUUGAAGACAAAAUCAACUCGACUUCAAUUGCAAAUCAGUAAUUAUACUUCACCAAACUUCCAUUUUAUCCUUGAACUUAAACAAGAAUUGUUAACUGGUUUUGGAUUUUCUGAUAGGAUUAAAUCAAGAAAAGAAGGUCACUAUAUGUGAUUAUCAGUCAGUCGUGGAGGAGAAACAUGGAAGGGAAUUAUGCAGAUUCAAAUCAAAUUAUAAAAUUGGAGAGAUCAAGAAAGAGAGGUGAAUCAAGCAUCACGAACUACUGGGAUUAACUCUAUUCAAAUUAAUAAGGGUUUGUAAUAGUUUUGUGAAAAUAUAAGUCAAACUAACCAAGCCAUUAGUAGAAUAAACACAUCAGAUCAAUGAACAAUUCCAAAAGCUCAUUUCAUAUUUAAACCUGACAAAAUAAGAAGGCAUGGAAGUGAUUCCACUUGAGCCUAAGAGGCAUACAGAUUCAUCAAGUUAUCACUAAGCGAUCAAGGCACUUUGGCAUGAAACUUUGCAUUCAUCAAAGAAGUCAGUCGAAAGAACUCUAACAGUAACACAACAUAUCUCGCCAAACUCAAACUAUCACUCAACCGGAUCAAACUUCAAUCAACCACACUAGAACUAGGCAGAAUCGAAGUUGCGAGACAUUUAAAUACCAAAAACCAAACAGAACACGUGAUGGUGUAACUUAAUCCAGACUUAAUACUAUCCGAAAGUCACAAAAUUGUCUCUGCUAAUGCCCAGAUGCGAUUAUUUAUCUUCUAAAACAUGUCAAGCAAAUUCAAACUACUAAGUCCACUUUAUAAUAUUUCGAAUCAUCAUCAAGAGAGUAAGAAAACAAAGACGAAAUUGGAAGUUAAGCUUUCAUUUAAUUCUGUAGAGAUCGAUUACAAGAGAAGAAGAUUUGGUGACGAACUUGACAACGAAAAUAGCUACUGAAAAUCCAGAGUCAACAACGAAGCAGCAGAGCAGAAACCAACACAGGGAACGUGGACACGAACCGAAAAAUUCGAACGGCGAGCUCGACCUCGGAUCAAUCAAUCUCCAAGUUGAAACUAAAACCAAAAGAAGCAACUAAAAUAUUUUUGGGAAUUUUCUGAGCUUUUAUUUUGAAAAUGAAACCAAGACUUGAACAAAGGGUAAAUCAAACUUUCUUUUCUUUCUUUUCGUAUUUUCACUUUUCUGGAAUGCUCAUUACAAAGGAAACCGAGGAAUCUAAGAAGAAGGCCAAGGAAAACCAAGAGCCCCAGCUUUUUCCGAAAUUUUCCUCCUCCUCCUUCUCCUCCUUUUUUUCCAAAAAAAAACCCGUCCCCCCUAUGUAUAUGAACAUAUAUAUAUAUAUAUAUAUAUAUAUAU